GCCGCUGCCUGAGUAGGAAGCAGCACGGGACUCGGUGACGCCUGAUGUGGCCUCUGAUAUCGACUGGGAGGUGGAAGAGAAAUUUGGGGAACGCAUCGAGAACCCUGGAAAAUCAACCUUCUCAGGGGGCGGUUCUCUGUGCCCGCGUGAACCUUCACAGUUGGAUGGAACACAGGAUGAAGUUGUUCUCUGAAGGUCCUUUGUCUGCCUGAAGUCUGGAUCCACCAAAAAAGAAAACAAUUACCUCUGGUACCUUCCUCAAGUUUUCAUUAACUGAACUCAUUGCAAGAAGAAAGACAUCUUGGUCCACACACCUGGAUAGACUUUCGUCACAAACCACUGUUUGCUCAUUGGGUCCAACAGAGUUUGUCCCAGGCCAUUGUAUAUUUCAAUUCCAUUGACUUCCCCUGAAAAUCAUUUACUGCCUUCCUAAAUCAUCCACGUUUCCCCAUCUCCCUUUCACUCAAGAAGAGGAUAUGAGACCUUCAGGAAGACCUCCUGACAGUCUUACUGGAUACUCUUGUAACAAGAUACUGUACCCCACUGCGUGGUGAGGAAAUCGCUCUGUGAUUUUCCCCCAUGCACAUUAAUAAAUUUUGUCCGGCAUUUCUCCUA
This is a long non-coding RNA of Rhinopithecus roxellana (golden snub-nosed monkey), 615 nucleotides long. RefSeq lists it as uncharacterized. Lineage: Eukaryota; Metazoa; Chordata; Mammalia; Primates; Cercopithecidae. The record is from RefSeq and is a predicted model, not a curated record. The transcript is spliced from 2 exons.